This 285-nucleotide unclassified non-coding RNA is filed under the name Didymellaceae sp. RNAcentral's name for it is "partial contains 5.8S ribosomal RNA, internal transcribed spacer 2, and large subunit ribosomal RNA". The stretch from base 1 to 71 matches the Rfam family "5.8S ribosomal RNA", at positions 84 to 154 of the family's 154-position model. The record is from RNAcentral. Lineage: Eukaryota; Fungi; Ascomycota; Dothideomycetes; Pleosporales; Didymellaceae.
GUGAAUCAUCGAAUCUUUGAACGCACAUUGCGCCCUUUGGCAUUCCUUAGGGCAUGCCUGUUCGAGCGUCAUCUAAACCUUCAAGCACUGCUUGAUGUUGGGCGUCUGUCCCGCCUCGGGUGUGGACUCGCCUUGAAAGUAUUGGCGGCCCGUGUGACGGCUUCGAGCGCAGCAGACGCGCGUCUCGUCUCCAUGCACCGGCGUCCAGCAAGCCUUACCCACUAAGUUUGACCUCGGAUCAGGUAGGGAUACCCGCUGAACUUAAGCAUAUCAAUAAGCGGAGGA